CUCUUCUCUCCCGCUUCUCUCGCUGUGAAGAUGGCGCUCUCCAGGGUGUGCUGGGCUCGGUCGGCUGUGUGGGGCUCGGCAGUCACCCCUGGACAUUUUGUCACCCGGAGGCUGCAACUUGGUCGCUCUGGCCUGGCUUGGGGGGCCCCUCGGUCUUCAAAGCUUCACCUUUCUCCAAAGGCAGAUGUGAAGAACUUGAUGUCUUAUGUGGUAACCAAGACAAAAGCGAUUAAUGGGAAAUACCAUCGUUUCUUGGGUCGUCAUUUCCCCCGCUUCUAUGUCCUGUACACAAUCUUCAUGAAAGAAAGCCUUGAGCCGGGCCAUGCUUCUCACAUCUUACCUGCCUCCUCCCUUGUUGAGACAUCGUUUGAAGACUCAUACAACUGUGAUUCACCAACUGGACAAGGCUUUGGCAAAGCUGGGGAUUGGCCAGCUGACUGCUCAGGAAGUAAAAUCGGCUUGUUAUCUCCGUGGCCUGAAUUCUACGCAUAUUGGUGAAGAUAGGUGUCGAACUUGGCUGGGAGAAUGGCUGCAGAUUUCCUGCAGCCUGAAAGAAGCUGAGCUGUCUCUCUUGCUGCACAACGUGGUCCUGCUCUCCACCAACUACCUUGGGACAAGGCGCUGAAUGAACCAUGGAGCGGAUGGCAUUGUCCUGCAGUCGUAUAGUAUAGCAGUGCAGGAACAAACAGCACUUGCCAGCAAAGUCUGUGUGUACUGUUAAGUGUGUGGGAGGCAGAGAGAGGAGCAGGGGCCAUGGGCUUCACAGCAUGGCACACAUGUGGGAACUGCAGACAUUCCUCUCACAGCUAGAACUGAAACAAACCCUCUUGCUAGGGGUGGUCCGUGUGAGGUGUCAUCCUGUCCCCCUCAUAAUUACUAAUAGCUGGAACUGGCAGCAGCCUCUACUGGGCUUUUACUGUGAUGUGUUCAGUUCAUGUCCUAGGAAGUCAGCUUUUGCCCCAGGUGGGAAUCCUUAUUUGGCUUAGGACUGAUCCACUUCCAUGUUACUUACAUCUGUGGGUUUUUGUUGUUGCUGUUAGAAAAUUUGUGGCUGGUGAAAACAGCACUCCUUUGGCUGGAGCACAUGUGUCCGUGCAUGUACUUGGGUGUUUCCCUCCAUCCUUUCUGAUAUGACCAAAAAUCAAGUUGUUUUGUUUUUUGUCACCUUCACUGGCAUGGGCUAACCACUUCUUUUUCAAACCCUCUGAACACCUUUUUCUGAUGGGUAACUUGCAGGAAUAUUCUAUUGGAAAAGAUAACAGGAAGUACAAGUGCUUCUUGACCCCUUCCUCAAUGUUUCUAGCCUUCACUCUCCAUUGUCUUUUCUGGGCUGUAUUACAGCCCUCUGUGGAUCUUCAACUCUGCUGCCUCCACUGUGAUGCAGCAGUCCAACUGUAACUGACAGUGGCUGCCUUCUCUGGGCCAUGGAUCACACCUGUAAGGUACUAAUUACUGCCCAGCCUGGGGAGAUCAGGAGAGGUCUGCAUAGUUAGUAAGUUGGGUUUAGCUUUUGUGUGUGCAUCAGUGACUUAGAGUUCUGUAAUAACUUAUUGUAAAUGCAUGAAGCACUGUUUUUAAACCCAAGUAAAGACUGCUUGAAACCUGUUGAUGGAAAUGACUUAUGCAUACUCUAAUCAUUUUGCUGUCUCCUUUUACAAGACUGACAUAAUCUAACAAAUGGGGAUUUAAUUGGUUGGCAUAGAACCUUCUGAUGGGAUGGAAGUUUUGCAGAAACUGAUUUGAAGUUGAUCUCCUUGCUGGACACUUUAAGCUGCUUCUUAUCACCUCUGAGAAAUGAAACAAAAAAAGAUGAGAUACCUCCACAGCCUAAGAAUCCUGUCAUGCUUGUUUUCUUUGCAAAAAUUUUAAGAGACAGGGUCUCACUCUGUGACCCAGGCUGGCGUGCACUGGUGUGAACUCAGCUCACUGCAGCCUUGACCUCCUGGACUCAAGAGAUCCUCCUACCUCAGCCUCCCACAUAGCUAGGAUUAGAGGUGUGAGCCACCAUGCCUGGCCGUGUGCUGUUUGCUUACUCUGUUGACGGAGGAGGGUUGUGGAACUGGAGAGUGUUCACAACCAUAGGGAAUCCACCCCUGAAUGGGCCUCCCAUGUUCAGUGGCACCCACACCUCACCCCGCUGACCCUGGUGUAGAUAUACUAUCUCAGGCCAACUUGGACUGACCUGGCAUUUAAUCCCAGCCUGGCUGCAGGCACACGCUUCUGGGUCACAAUACAGUCGGCAGUCACAACCACAUUCUUCCCGUGACAGGCGGAUGGCUCGAAGUUCUUGCUUCUCUUCAGCAUCAAUACGGUGGACCCCAGAAGCCCUCAGCAGGGCCCGUCGCCGUUUGGUGGGCAGAGGCUGCAGGAAGAAGUAAUCAUCCACCUCCACAUUUUCCACAUCAAUAUCUUCAUCUGACACAUCAUCCAGCGUCAGGCCAUCAGCCUCCACCGACUCCACUGUCCCAUUCUUGGUCAGCUGCCAAGAGACAGGAAAGGUUAGCCUCAUAGACAUGAGCGGCAUGCACCUCCUCAGUGACCAUCCCAGAGCAGCACUGUCCCUUGAACCUUCUGCAAUCAUGGGAAUAUCUGUGCUGUCCAAAAUGAUGGCAGCUACUAGCACAUGUGGCUACUGAGCACUAGAAAUGCAGCAAUUGGAAAACUGUCAUUUUAUUUAUUUUUUUGAGACAAAAGUCUCAUUCUGUCGUCCAGGCGGGAGUGCAGUGGUGCAGUCUUGGCUCACUACAACCUCCGCCUCCCGGGUUCAAGCGAUUCUCCUGCCUCCCAAGUAGUUGGGAUUACAGGCGUGAGUCACCAGCCUGGCUAAUUUUUUCUAUUUUCAGUAAAGACAGGGUUUCACUGUGUUGGCCAGGCUAGUCUUGAACUGCUGGCCUCAAGUGAUCCACACACCUCGGCCUCCCAAAGUGCUGGGGUCCACUGUGCCAGCCCAAUUUACAUAAUUUUAAUUGAAUAGCCGUAUGUGACUACUGGCUGCUAUAUUCACUAGCACAAGUCAAAAGAAUAAAUCCAGAGUGGGAAGAUGGGAAAUCUUACGUACCAUCACCUUUCUGGGUCCAAGCUUCUCAAAAACCCGUCUCAUCUUCCCUCCUACACGAAAAUCUAUUUCCACAAACAUACCGUCUAUUUCCAGACAUGUAUCCCCUAAUUUACACUCACUUGCCUUCUAACACAGAGAGGAAAAGGUAUGUGAAUGACUGGAUGAUCCUUGGAUAUACAGAAAAAUGUGAAACACCCUUCAACUUGCACCCACUGAAUGCAAAACUACCUUCUUGAAAAAAAAAGGGCAAAUUAAAGUGUAGUAAAAGGCUACCAGGUCUUAAUCAAUGAACCCAAAUCCCCACAGUGUGAACAAUUAUCUGUGCAUGCACUAAAGAGCUUCAUUCUACUGUAAGGAGAAAAAGCAAAUAUAUUAACAGGUAUUAAAGAAAGCCCUUGGCCGAGAAAAAA
This is an RNA transcript of Homo sapiens (human), 3468 nucleotides long. It is a transcript of the gene named LETM1 domain containing 1, with no coding region annotated. The record is from RefSeq and is marked reviewed. Lineage: Eukaryota; Metazoa; Chordata; Mammalia; Primates; Hominidae. The transcript has 6 exons.